UCUCCCGAGAAUAAAAUCAAGGUACCAUUAGGCUGCAUUUCUUUUGGAGUCUUUAAGAGAGAAUCAGUUCCCUGCUUAUUUGAGUUGUUGGCACUAUUCCGUUCCUGUGGUUGUAGGACCAAGGUCACUGUUUUCUUGCUGGCUAUAAACUGAGGGUCAUUCUCUGCUCCUAGAGACCACUGCAUUCCUUGGCUCAUAGCCACCUUCCUCCAUCUUCCAAGCAAGCAUGUUGACGAGCCGUAUCCUUCUCAUGUCAGCUCUCUCUGACUCACUCUUCUGCCUUCCUCUUCACGUUUCAGGGCACGUGUGAUUAGAUUGGGCCGGCCCGAAUAAUCCAGGAUCAUCUCUCCAUCCCAGAGUCCUUAAUUUUAAUCACGUCUGCACAGUCCCUUUUGCCUCUGUUCUCCUGACUCCAUCCUCUGAGUCAUGUUUUCUUUUUCACAUUCGAGGUUCCAGGGACCAGGACAUGGACAUCUGUGAGGGGCCAUUAUUCCUCCUAUCACGCCCAGUGAGGCGGGAUUGGUGACACUCAGGUGCCCUUGCGACUCUAUCACUGAGCCCCCCCUGACAGCCCAUGUCCUAGAGAGUCUUCUUUGUCGGGCCAGCAAGCAGCAGGCACUUAGUCACUGGCAAAUAACAAUGAUGGAUGGUAGAGGUUUAAACAGGAUGCUGUGGAUUUGGCCUGCGUUUCUCCUCUGCUGGCUCCCUGUUGGUUUCUAAGACUCGGUAUUGGCUGGGUCAGAUGGUACGUGCAGUCUUGAACAGCUCUGGUGGCUUUCUGAUCUCUUUGAAAUAUCCUGGUGUUUUUCCAUUUUUCCAGUCACAGAGGAGCAGAUAGAAACUCUGGCAGAGAACAAAUCUUUAGAUGGUUAAGAAUUUUGGAGGAGACAGAAGCCAGUUGGGGUAAAAUGAGAACAGAGUGUUCCUCGGGGACCUUGGGUCGUUGGAGAAAUGCCUCCAAUUUGAUUUAUUUCACAUUUUUGAUAGAUGUGUGUCCUGCCCAUCCCUUCUUCUGGCCCCUUUCUUCGGAACAGAAGUCCCCUGUGGAACAGACUCUGUGCUGGGUUGGUAAAUGCUUGAGGCUCUCACAUAACAGGAGGAGAACUACAUACUGAGGCAGCAUGGAUGCCGUCAGCCAGGUCCCCGUGGAAGUUGUGCUCCCCAAACACAUCCUGGAUAUCUGGGCCAUUGUCCUCGUCAUCCUGGCCACCGUUGUCAUCAUGACCUCCCUGUUGCUGUGCCCGGCCACGGCGGUCAUCAUCUAUCGCAUGCGGACUCAUCCUGUCCUCAGCGGGGCUGUGUGAGAGCCGGGGCUGUGUGAGAGCCGCUCAGGAGGGGCAGGGGCGGGGUGAGGACAGCGGCCCCGCCCCCAGCCUCUUUCCCUUUCUCAGAAAAGCAGCAGGAGGGACUUUGGAGCCUGGACUCUGGAGCUUGACAUGGGGGAGGACACCUGAGUCCUGGUGCAGUCUGCCACUGGCCCGCUGAGUGAGAUCUGUCACAGGACCUAAUCCUAUGACUUCCAGGUUCCUUGUCUCCAAUGGGGCUCACUAACCGUGCCCUUCCUACCUCACACGGCUGUGAGAACCAAUGGCUGGGUGGACGUUAAAACCAUGUGUGAGCAAUAAAGCCACCACACAUGUGCAGGUGUUACUGCUGAGUGCUGAGAAGCUCUGAAGAACCAAAGCACCUGACUGCUGCUGAUGGCCUUCAAGGUGGUGAGGGACACCUGGGGGCAGAGCCGCCUUUGCCAGUGCCCCUCAGGUCAAACCAAGCAAAAGCACCACGCGUGUUCUCAUUCCAAGGGCCCAGCAGCACGUUGGCUCAGUUGUUUUCUUUGAGGUGCCACUCCCUCACGUUUCCU
Molecule: long non-coding RNA, 1861 nt
Organism: Rhinolophus ferrumequinum (greater horseshoe bat)
Lineage: Eukaryota; Metazoa; Chordata; Mammalia; Chiroptera; Rhinolophidae
Source: Ensembl